UACAUGCAAGUAGAACGCUGAAGAGAGGAGCUUGCUCUUCUUGGAAGAGUUGCGAACGGGUGAGUAACGCGUAGGUAACCUGCCUUGUAGCGGGGGAUAACUAUUGGAAACGAUAGCUAAUACCGCAUAACAAUGGGUGACCCAUGUCAUUCAUUUGAAAGGGGCAACUGCUCCACUACAAGAUGGACCUGCGUUGUAUUAGCUAGUAGGUGAGGUAACGGCUCACCUAGGCGACGAUACAUAGCCGACCUGAGAGGGUGAUCGGCCACACUGGGACUGAGACACGGCCCAGACUCCUACGGGAGGCAGCAGUAGGGAAUCUUCGGCAAUGGGGGCAACCCUGACCGAGCAACGCCGCGUGAGUGAAGAAGGUUUUCGGAUCGUAAAGCUCUGUUGUAAGUCAAGAACGAGUGUGAGAGUGGAAAGUUCACACUGUGACGGUAGCUUACCAGAAAGGGACGGCUAACUACGUGCCAGCAGCCGCGGUAAUACGUAGGUCCCGAGCGUUGUCCGGAUUUAUUGGGCGUAAAGCGAGCGCAGGCGGUUUGAUAAGUCUGAAGUUAAAGGCUGUGGCUCAACCAUAGUUCGCUUUGGAAACUGUCAAACUUGAGUGCAGAAGGGGAGAGUGGAAUUCCAUGUGUAGCGGUGAAAUGCGUAGAUAUAUGGAGGAACACCGGUGGCGAAAGCGGCUCUCUGGUCUGUAACUGACGCUGAGGCUCGAAAGCGUGGGGAGCGAACAGGAUUAGAUACCCUGGUAGUCCACGCCGUAAACGAUGAAUGCUAGGUGUUGGGAGUC
RNAcentral lists this ribosomal RNA (796 nucleotides) under uncultured Streptococcus sp. Its description in RNAcentral is "bacterial SSU rRNA". It matches the Rfam family "Bacterial small subunit ribosomal RNA", at positions 52 to 831 of the family's 1533-position model. Lineage: Bacteria; Bacillati; Bacillota; Bacilli; Lactobacillales; Streptococcaceae. The record is from RNAcentral.